This is a long non-coding RNA of Trachemys scripta elegans, 3672 nucleotides long. RefSeq lists it as uncharacterized. The transcript is spliced from 4 exons. NCBI's taxonomy places the organism in Eukaryota, Metazoa, Chordata, Testudines, Emydidae. The record is from RefSeq and is a predicted model, not a curated record.
AUCUCUCAGCUUUCCAACUGCAGAAUUUCACACCCACUCCACAACUAAAACUUGAGUGGUUCUAGAGACUGAAACCCAGUCACUCAGCAUCAUCCUAACACCCAAAAUCUUUCUGCUAUCUUUGUAAUUAAAUCUUAGCUUUUAAAACUAUAUUUUAAAUUAAGAUUAAAGAUUACAUCUCUUGUGUGGAGUGAUUUUACUCUGUAUAUCUGCUGGAGCUAUGAGGAUGCCUGCUUGUGUUUCUCCAGGCCUUGUCUUGCAGCACUGUCCUUUUGGCAGAGAUGAAAUGGAUGGGACUCCCUAGAGAACUGAAUUUUCCUCCUGAGUUAACUGGAGGGGUUGCUGUUGAAUAUUGUAAGGCAGAGUGUCUCACCGCAAUAUCAUGGAUUUAAACUGAGCAUUCCAGAAUGUAAACCAACAAGCUGAAGAAUUGUACUGUCAUGCUGGUCUUUUAUUAAGCACAAUUUCUUUUUGCAAAUGUUUGAUGCCCAAGAUUUCUAUAUCCAGUACAAGAUUUAUUUUUGUUCCUCUCAAUCACAGUGUUCAAUAUUUGUUUGUAGUAAUCUGCAUUCCUUUUGACACAUUCUAAGAAGCUUAAAAAGGGGGGUGGGGAUUUCAUUAUUUGGCAAACCUUUAUUUCCCUUCCCCCCCCCCCCACCCGCAAUGUGUUUUUGGAUCAAGUUGACAUGAGCAUAAGUGUUUUUGUUUAGCAGCUACAAUUUUAACUUGCAUUCAUAGUGAUUCUUUGCAUGGCAGCAUGAUUGUCAGUACAGAUGUGGAAACAUUACUUGCUAGUUAAACAUUGCUGCAGAACCUGCAAAGCAAGAACAAAAUGUAGUUUUAUAGGUCCUAUAAAUUACCAUUGUUGUGGUUUUCAAGUUCUUGUUGAUGAGAGUAUGAGAUUUAGAAGUAAACAAAGAAUCUAAGCAAGAUUGAAUCUGGUGCCUAAAGCGUUUGACGUUGCCUUCUUAAAAAAUCCUAUCUUUAAAAGCCUACUAUAAAUUAUUAAUGUCAGAUAUCUGUUUUGUUGUCACCGUAUCCCACAGCUUUCCCUGGUGACAGCUGGAGGUGUUUAAUUUCACUCAAAGAUCCUGUGAACCAUUUGUUUAUGCAUCAUUUUUCUAUAACAGACAUUUUUUACUAAUUAGGAGCAACCUCGUAUCAGUUAACUUGGGUCUUAAAACCAUGAUUUAAAAAAAUCCCACGAUGUCAUUUAUAGGAAUUUCUGUGCAAUGACAAAUGGUCUCCAAACACAUGGGCAGAAGAAGAAAGGGCCUUAAGGAGGUUCACCACCAAAUUUCAUACAAGUCUGUAAACUGAAUAAAUAUAACAGUACCUAAGGAUUGAUUGCAAAAAGGAAUAGCUUAGUGUGCUCCUUGAGUGUCUGUUGGGGUAACUGCUUUUCUGUAAAGGAUAAAAAGGAUUUUAGGAGGAGAUACCUUGAGGCUUAAACUGUCACCAUAUGGAGUGGAAUUACAUGCAGGUUCUUAAAUGUUUGUUUUUCUUUGUCAGUUACAAAGUAUAUAAAAUACGCUAUCUCUUUGUGUGAACUAAGUAUGAGCUAGUUCACCUGAUGGAUGAUACUGUGGGGGAAGAAGGGUAAAUUGAAUGGGCCAAAGUGGUCCCUGAUAUAACUCCAUUGAAGUCACUGAAGUUAAGUCAUGGAUAAAUUUCUCCCAACACUAACAAGUGAUUUUUUCCUUUGUUUGUUGUUUUAAACUUAUAAUUAGAAAUGGACCUGAACAGAAACCCAGAUCCAAACAACCCUGAAAUUUGGGAGAGUCCAGAGCCAAACUUCAUGACUAGCUCCUGUUCAACUAAUGGAAUGAACCAAAAUUGCAGAUUGACACAUCCCUAUACUUGAAGCAUGUUCUAAUGUCUGUUUCAACUCUGCAGCUUGACCCCAUGUCAACUUGUAGAUGAAAAUUCAGCAUGGAGAGAUAAAAAUAAAAAGCUCUGACUACAGGCGAGAGAACAAUAUUUGUGUCCCAUUCUGAGGAUUUUGAGAGAGUCUCUGUCAGCAAUAAUAGCUUCCUCCAGACACACACCCGGUAAGAGGAGUCCAGUAACAUGAGCCCUUUCAAAAGUCUUCCAAUAUCCCAAAAUGACUAGCUCCUAAAUUGUCGUCAUGGAGGAUUAACCCAGUACCCCACGCACAGCUGGAUUGACACUGAAAGCAGAGCUGCUCAUUUGCACACUCCCCCAUGCACAAGUUGCCCAUGACCCCAGCAGGCAGUUUCUGUCUUAGGUAAGUGGAACCCUAUUGGGUCACUCUACCUCCACAGCAUUGUCAAACAUUUUAGUUUCUUAGUCCUUCACUUCUGUGAGGUGCUGGAGACCCUAUAUGCUGCUCUUCGAAAUACUUCUGGCCAACUGAACAGGAAAUGCUGCUGGAUUCCAGAUAAUCCAGACCCUCCUAUGCUGGGAUGGCUGAUCACUACACUACCUUGCUUUUGAAUAGGUGUGGAUUUAAAGAGGAAAAUGUAGUAGAAAAGAAGCUUUCAGGGCUCCAAGAGUAACUUGCAACCCCCCAAACUUCCUGUAAUAAAAAUUUAGUCAUAUAAUCUUGUUACAAGAAAAGAGGAAAUGUUACGUAACAGUUGCAUACAUCUGCAUGAGCUUAAUACGUACAAGUAGAGUUGAGUGCCACCACAACAUUAAUUUGAUGUGCUCCCUAAACACUUAGAGAUGGGUAAGGGUUUGUUUUUAUAUUCCUGUGCUUAAAUGAGUUGCGGAAACUAUUUUUUAAUAUGAAGCCCACAGGAGCAGAAGGGGCUUAUCAGUCAAUGGCUGAAGCAACAUUGCCUUUUGAUGACAGCAUGAGGAUGUCCUGAGUCCCCGUGAAGAGUUAACAGUAGCAAGCCAUCAACUGGAUGACACAUCCUUAACUAAUUGUAAAUGGGGAAUCAUCAUCCCGUGGAGGUGUUUCUAGUGGGGCCCCCCUCAUUAAAUCUGUUUUUGUUCCAAUCCUGUUUAAUAUCUCUAUCGACAACUUGGAAGAAAACUUAUCAUGCCUGGUAAAACAGACCACAAACAGUGGACGGGUAAAUGACAGUUCAGUUCUACAGAGCAAUCUGUCGAACAACAUGCACUUUAAUACAAUUAAAUGUAAGGUUUAUAUAUAGUAGAAACCAGAAUGUAGGUCACCAAAGGUGGAGGACUGUAUUUUGGAAAGCAGUGACUCCACAGGGCUUUGUGUUAUGGGGAUAACCAGUUGAACGUGAGCUGACAAUAUGAUGCAACUGGCUAAGAGAGAAAAGGCAAUAAACUUAUUUGUAUAAGUAGGGGAAUACUGAGUAGAAGUAGGGAGAUGUUACCUCUACUGCAUGUGUCAGUGCUGAGACAGUUACUAGAAGACUGUGUUCACUUCUCACCUUCUGCUCUUUAAAGACGUUUACUCCUUGGGGGAUUCUGUGUGACUGCGUGCCCACAGAAAACAGGGCCCAACCUUAAAGUGAAAGAGAAGGGCUCACAAUCUAAUUAGCUUAACAAAGAGAAGGUUUAAGAGGUGACUUGAUCAUGGUCCAAAGCUAUGUCUACACUACCACCUAUGACGGCAAAACUUAUGUCACUCGGACAUAAGCGACAGAAGUUACACUGAUAUAAGUGCUAGUGUGCACAGCUCUAUGGUGGUGGGAGAGCUUCUCUUGCUGACAUAACUUAUGCUGCUCC